UACGUAGGUCCCGAGCGUUGUCCGGAUUUAUUGGGCGUAAAGCGAGCGCAGGUGGUUUAUUAAGUUUGGUGUAAAAGGCAGUGGCUCAACCAUUGUAUGCAUUGGAAACUGGUAGACUUGAGUGCAGGAGAGGAGAGUGGAAUUCCAUGUGUAGCAGUGAAAUGCGUAGAUAUAUGGAGGAACACCGGUGGCGAAAGCGGCUCUCUGGCCUGUAACUGACACUGAGGCUCGAAAGCGUGGGGAGCAAACAGG
RNAcentral lists this ribosomal RNA (252 nucleotides) under uncultured bacterium. RNAcentral describes it as "partial 16S ribosomal RNA". It matches the Rfam family "Bacterial small subunit ribosomal RNA", at positions 524 to 776 of the family's 1533-position model. The record is from RNAcentral.